CAUACUUCGGCAGCCUUUUCCAACCUGUUGGUUGUGGGAUCUUGUUUGUGUAUAGCUGCCUUGAGCACUGCAUAGCUUCACGUUCGUUUGGUUCUUUAUUGUUUUUUGCCGGUUCACGUAAAAAUGAUGAUGAACCCAAACCACGCUGCAUUGUGGUCCGAUUCUUACAACAACGCUCGUGACAGACAAUGACCAAACACACCUCCAGGCUGUGUAAGGGCUAUGUGACCAAGGAAUGAUGAAGUGCUGCAUCAGAUGACCUGGCCUCCACAGUCGUCCAUCCUCAACCCAAUUGAGAUUGUUUGGGAUGAGUUGGACCGCAGAAUGAAGGAAAAGCAGCCAACAAGUGCUCAGCAUAUGUGGGAACUCCUUCAAGACUGUUGGAAAAGCGUUCCAGGUGAAGCUGGUUGAGAGAAUGCGAAGAGUGUGCAAAGCUGUCAUCAAGGCAAAGGGUGGCUACUUAGACAAAUCAAAAUAUAUUUUAGAUUCUUCAAACACUUUUAGUUACUACAUGACUCCAUAUGUUAUUUCAUAGUUGUGAUGUCUUGACUGUUAUUAUACAAUGAAGAAAAUAGUAAAAAUAAAGAAAAGCCUUUGAAUGAGUAGGUGUGUCCAAACUUUGGACUGGUAAUGUAUUUGAAUUGAAUGCGCUUGUCAACAAGUGUUUAUUUUUUAGAAUUUGUUUUACCUUGUAGCCUAAUCUGACUACUGUUACCGUCAAUCAAAUGCAUUGUAACAACUGCUCUAGCUGCUUGAUCAUUUCCAAUUAAAUUAAGAAAACAUUUUCCAUUAAUAAUUGCAUUAAAACACAAGGCUACAACAAUAAACUGAAGUAAAAGGCUAUUCAAUUUGUUUGUCCGCUUCAGGUAGGCUACACAAGUGGCACAAAUUGAUUUGCAAUGACUCCAGGGAAAUUGACAUUUCAAACUAUUUAUUGUAUCAAAUGGCAGCCUACAAUGGCAUAUACAUUAAUGGGAUACCUGGUGGUUAGCAGUGGCAAAUGUAGCUAUCUCCACAUAUGGCCUAAUGUCAGCUUCAUUAAGGACUUUUCCCCAUGAAAAGAACCACCGAGUUCCCUUUCAAAUUUCCACUCGGGCAGCCCCGAGACCCAAGAAGUGAGCAUGCAUAAAGCACUUGAUGCCGUUUUCUUUAGGCAAAGUCAACAUUUGAAUGCAGUUUAGUUUAAACCAAAUCCGAGAAAAGGGUUGGACACGGGUGUCUCCAUAAUGUCAAUCUAAAUAGCCUACCUACAACUGGAAAAAAGUUGUCAAGAUGUGCACGAGUGCUGCUCUCGCUCCUCUUGCUCAUGUGACUCAGCCAAUACUUGUGGUGCUCUCUCAACACACACACACUCACACACACCCCACUCACUUACUCACUCAGCAACAACCUGAAAGACAGUUGAUUUGAAA
Molecule: long non-coding RNA, 1412 nt
Organism: Oncorhynchus tshawytscha (Chinook salmon)
Lineage: Eukaryota; Metazoa; Chordata; Actinopteri; Salmoniformes; Salmonidae
Source: Ensembl